Molecule: long non-coding RNA, 432 nt
Organism: Exaiptasia diaphana
Lineage: Eukaryota; Metazoa; Cnidaria; Anthozoa; Actiniaria; Aiptasiidae
Exons: 3
Source: RefSeq, a predicted model, not a curated record
AUGGCGGCAAGCUAGGUGAGAUAGUUACCAAAACGCGAUGAACUUUACCAACGUUUCGAGUGAAAUCAGGUGAAUUUAGCACGUUCAAAAUCGAUGCUGAUAUCCUCGACCUUGCUAGUCGAAAGUCGAAAAUGCGAUCGAAGUCUACUCAAAAUUCGUCAGCAAACAACAACUGCUUCUAUCAUGACAAUCAAACGAUUUGAAAAAUUGACUUUCACUUUCGACUAGUUUUGUGCGGUUUUAACUGAUUGAGAGCGUUAAGAUUCUGUAGUCAGCAGAAAAAGGUUACAAUGACGUCUAAUCAAGGCUGGACAAAUGAGCUUGGAAACAAUGCAAAGACAUUCCUUGAAAGCCUUCAACGUGCUAAAGUAGAUGGAGUACCAGAAAAUACACUGUUGGUUGAAGUAAGUGGUUCACAUUGUGUUAACUGCU